UGUAAUAGCCUCAGUACUAUUCCCAGCAAUGACGAUAUCGUCAACAUAAACCAACAAGGCAAGAAAAACAUUACCAGUCUUCUUGGUGAAGAGGGUGUGAUCAGCAUGAGAUUUCUUGAAACCCAGAGCAAGCAAAGUGGAGCUAAAUUUCAAGUACCAUUGCCGUGAAGCUUGCUUUAAACCAUAUAGGGAUUUCUGAAGCUUCAAUACAGCAUUUUCAGGUAAAGAUCCUCCCUGACUCAUAGAAUAGCCUGGAGGUAUACUCAUAUAGAUCUCCUCAUUUAAAUCACCAUUCAGAAAGGCAUUUGAAAUAUCUAACUGUUGUAAACUCCAAUUCUUAGCAGCUGCAACAGAGAGAAG
This 360-nucleotide long non-coding RNA is filed under the name Capsella rubella. RNAcentral describes it as "long non-coding RNA (CRUB_LNC001150)". Lineage: Eukaryota; Viridiplantae; Streptophyta; Magnoliopsida; Brassicales; Brassicaceae. The record is from RNAcentral.